GGGGAGAUACCCAAGUGGUCAAAGGGGGCAGACUGUAAAUCUGCUGGCGAACGCCUUCGGAGGUUCAAACCCUCCUCUCCCCACCA
This 86-nucleotide transfer RNA is filed under the name Candidatus Rokuibacteriota bacterium. RNAcentral describes it as "tRNA-Tyr". It matches the Rfam family "tRNA". Rfam says of the family: Transfer RNA (tRNA) molecules are approximately 80 nucleotides in length. Lineage: Bacteria; Candidatus Rokuibacteriota. The record is from RNAcentral. RNAcentral also lists the same sequence under 2 other names.